This is a long non-coding RNA of Raphanus sativus (radish), 1040 nucleotides long. RefSeq lists it as uncharacterized. The transcript has 4 exons. The record is from RefSeq and is a predicted model, not a curated record. NCBI's taxonomy places the organism in Eukaryota, Viridiplantae, Streptophyta, Magnoliopsida, Brassicales, Brassicaceae.
CUUUUCGUUCUUCCAGUCUUCUUUCUCACCGUCAACGGUUAACUUAAUCUGCAAACCCAAAGAUUUCUCCUUCCAUCUCUUGACCUCCCCUAAUCAUUCAACGUCUUCUUAAUUUCGUCUUCUCAUCUCUUAACCUCCCCUGUCGUUCAAUGUAUCUUAAUUUCGACCUCUUCGGAUCCUUCAUGUCAAAUCUAUAAAUUAAAGAGGGUUGAGACUAGGAUGAAUCUUCAGAACCACUUUCAGUUAUUCAUUUUUAUCAAGGGUAGAAAGAUGGCUUCCUCCGAUGUUGUUGCGCACUCCGCCUUUGAUGCUCUUCGUCUCGGUAAAUCUACCCAGUCAUUGUUGCUCGGCUGCUUCGUUUUUUUGGACUCAAAAACCAUCAAGAAGCAAGCUAAAUUCAUGGAAAUCAUUCUACUUCUCCGUGAUGAGAAGAUGACAUUCAUCAUGCGGAGAGUGGCGCUAAUGGAUGAGAGGUUAUUAUGAGUGGAAAGCUCCAUGCUCAAAAGGUGCCAAGUCCAUGAAAUUCAAGGUCGGUUACAUGGUUUCCUCCGGUCAACUAACCAAGUAGUACAUCGAAUCUGUAGUUAAACAUGUUCUGUUUAUACAUGUGACUAGGGUCUGCUCGGAAUCAAGGUUAAGGUCCUGCUUGACUGGGACCCUAUUACGAAGCUAGGACCAAUGACACCAUUACACGAUCUUGUGAUCAUCCAUGCUCCCAAGGGAAAAGAUGUUAACUCCGCAGCUGCUCAGGUUGUUACUUUGGCUGCUCUUCUACUGAAAGCUCCACUCACAACCGUAGAGUACACUGACCAAGUAACCUUCCGAUCCUGAUUUUGGAGACGCAAUUGGAAGUGUGAGCUCCAUUGAUUCUUUGAUUCUGGUGAGAGACGCUUAAAUAUGUUUUAUCAUAUAAGUUAUAACCAUAUGCGUUAAAAGAUAUACAGAUUUGUUAUUGUAUUAUUUUAACUUAAUUCACAUUUGUUUGGGAAUUGUGGGGUUAUAGUUGAUUACAAAACUGAAAUACAAUAGAAACGUGUAAA